GCCGCGAUAGUUUAGUGGUAGAAUUGGGGACUGUGGAUCCCCUGGCCCGGGUUCGAUUCCCGGUCGCGGCC
Molecule: transfer RNA, 71 nt
Filed under: Methanobacteriota archaeon
Lineage: Archaea; Methanobacteriati; Methanobacteriota
Description: Euryarchaeota archaeon (groundwater metagenome) tRNA-His
Rfam family: tRNA
About the family: Transfer RNA (tRNA) molecules are approximately 80 nucleotides in length. Their secondary structure includes four short double-helical elements and three loops (D, anti-codon, and T loops). Further hydrogen bonds mediate the characteristic L-shaped molecular structure. tRNAs have two regions of fundamental functional importance: the anti-codon, which is responsible for specific mRNA codon recognition, and the 3' end, to which the tRNAs corresponding amino acid is attached (by aminoacyl-tRNA synthetases). tRNAs cope with the degeneracy of the genetic code in two manners: having more than one tRNA (with a specific anti-codon) for a particular amino acid; and 'wobble' base-pairing, i.e. permitting non-standard base-pairing at the 3rd anti-codon position.
Source: RNAcentral